RNAcentral lists this long non-coding RNA (399 nucleotides) under Setaria viridis. Its description in RNAcentral is "long non-coding RNA (SVIR_LNC009921)". The record is from RNAcentral. Lineage: Eukaryota; Viridiplantae; Streptophyta; Magnoliopsida; Poales; Poaceae.
GAAAACAUCACUACCCGACGGGCGGAUCCAUCGGACAUGCCAAGAAUGUUGAUCCUCGUCAAGGGCACCAGGCAUCUAUUUCUAUUAGGGAAUAAUAAUUAAAUAAAAGUGAUGAGCUCAGGAAGAGGAGGGUGAUGACGACUGAUGAGAGCUCCUUGAGGUCACGGCCAUAGGUGAGGCCGUCCCUGCUGCCAUGAAGGUAGUAAAGCCUAGCUAGCUCUAUUGUCCUUUUAGUGUUCAGCAAAUACUGCGCCCGCCCGCUCUGCUGUGCGUUUCAUCUGCAAGGGUCAUAGAUUGAGUUUAAACAUUUUGUACCUUCUACAACAAGAAUAUUUUAUAAUUAUUUUUUCCACUAAAGUGUUUGAGACAGGAAAAGGGAACAAUUUAUGUGGAUACUAC